This is a non-coding RNA of Cynocephalus volans (Philippine flying lemur), 992 nucleotides long. Lineage: Eukaryota; Metazoa; Chordata; Mammalia; Dermoptera; Cynocephalidae. The record is from the annotation of a RefSeq genome assembly.
AUGGUCACCAGGCUCCUCUGCUGUGUGAUUCUUUGUCUCCUGGGAGUAGAGCCCAUGGAUGCUGGAGUCAUCCAGACACCCAGGCACGAAGUGACGGAGACGGGACAAGCAGUUACUCUGAGAUGUCAGCCAAUUUCAGGACAUACUGCCCUUUUCUGGUAUAGACAGACUGUGGUGCAGGGCCUGGAGUUACUGAUUUACUUCAGCAACCAGGCUCCCAUAGAUGACACAGGGAUGCCCAAGGAACGAUUUUCAGCUCAGAUGCCUAAUGCCUCAGUCUCCACUCUGAAGAUCCAGCCCACAGAACCCGGGGACUCAGCACUCUACCUCUGUGCCAGCAGCCCUCCGUGCUCCUACGAGCUGUAUUUCGGUCCGGGCACCAGGCUGACCGUCACAGAGGACCUGAGCAAGGUGACCCCACCCAAGGUCACUGUGUUUGAGCCAUCAGAAGCAGAGAUUUCCCGGACCGACAAGGCCACGCUGGUGUGCCUGGCCACAGGCUUCUACCCUGACCACGUGGAGCUGAGCUGGUGGGUGAAUAGGAAGGAGGUCCACAGUGGGGUGAGCACAGACCCUCAGCCCUACAAGGAGCAGAACGGCCUCAACAACUCCAGCUACCGCCUGAGCAGCCGCCUGAGGGUCUCGGCCGCCUUCUGGCACAACCCUCGCAACCACUUCCGCUGCCAAGUCCAGUUCUACGGGCUCACGGAUGAAGACCAGUGGACCCACAACUCGGCCAAACCCAUCACUCAGAACGUCAGUGCCGAGGCCUGGGGCAGAGCCGACUGUGGCUUCACCUCGGUGUCCUAUCAGCAAGGGAUCCUGUCUGCCACUGUCCUCUAUGAGAUCCUGCUGGGGAAGGCCACCCUGUAUGCAGUGUUGGUCAGCGCCCUGGUGCUGAUGGCCAUGGUCAAGAAAAAGGAUUCCUGAGGCCAGCUUCAAAAGUGCAUCUGAGUCGUUCUUCAUCCUCAUCCUGGAUUCUUCUCUACCUG